Long non-coding RNA from Oncorhynchus tshawytscha (Chinook salmon), 5700 nucleotides. The record is from Ensembl. Lineage: Eukaryota; Metazoa; Chordata; Actinopteri; Salmoniformes; Salmonidae.
GCACACACACACUGGACACAUGCACACACACACUGAACACACACAAAACUGUACACACACACACGCACACACUGGAUACAGACAGGACACACUGGACACACACUGGACACACACACACACUGGACAAACACACACACUGGACACACACACAGACAAAUACACACACACACUGGACACACACACACACUGGACACAACACACACUGGACAAACACACACUGGACAAACACACACACACACUGGACAAACACACACACACACUAGACAAACACACACACAAACACAGUGGACACACACACUGGACACACACACACACACACUGGACACACACACACACUGGACACACACACACACUGGACACACACACACACUGGACACACACACACACACACUGGACACACACACACACACUCUCUCACACACACACACACACACACACUGGACACACACACACACACUGGACAAAUACACACACACUGGACACACACACUGGACACACACACACACACACACACACACACUGGACACACACACACACUGGACACACACACACACUGGACACACACACACACUGGACACACUGGACACACACACACUGGGACAAAUACACACACACUGGACAAAUACACACACACUGGACACACACACACUGGACACACACACACACACUGGACACACACACACACUGGACAAACACACACACUGGACACACACACACACACACACACACACACACACACACACUGGACACACACACACACACACUGGACACACACACACACACACACUCUGACACACACACACACACACUGGACACACACACACACAUUGGACAAAUACACACACUGGACACACACACACACUCUGGACACACACACACACUGGACACACACACACACUGGACACACACACACUGGACACACACACACACACUGGACACACACACACACUGGACAAACAAACACACACUGGACAAAUACACACACACACUGGACAAAUACACACACUGGACAAAUACACACACACUGGACAAAUACACACACACUGGACAAAUACACACACACUGGACACACACACACACUGGACACACACACACUCUGGACACACACACACACUGGACACACACACACUGGACCGACACACACACACUGAAUACACACACACUGAACACACACACACACUGGACACACUCACAGAAACACACACUGGACACGGACAGACACACACACAAACACACCUCACAUACACACUGAUUACACACUGAAUACACACACAUUGGACACACACACACACACACACUGGACACACACACACACUGGAAACAAACACACACUGGACACGGACAGACACACACACACACACACACCUCACAUACACACACACACACACUGAUUACACACUGAAUACACACACAUUGGACACACACACACACUGGACACACACACACUGGAAACAAACACAUACAUUGGACACACACACACACACACAUUUGACACACACACACUGGACGGACACACACACACACACACACACACGCACUGGACACUCAGAAACACGCUGGACAAACAAACACACACACACACUGGACACACACACUCAAACACUGAACACACACACACACUGAAACACACACUGGACACAAACACACACACACACACACUCAACACAGACACACAAACUCCACACACACACACACUGGACACACACACACACACACACACUAGACACACACACACAAACACACUAGAUAAAUACACUGGACACACACACACUGGACACGCACACACACACUGGACACGUGCACACACACACUGAACACACACACACACACACUGGACACACACACACACACUCUGGACACACACACACACCACACUGAACACACACAAAACUGUACACACACACACUCACACACACACACUGGACACACACACACUGGACAAACACACACUAGACAAAUACACACACACACUGGACACACAGACACACACUGGACACACACUGGACAAACACACACUGGACAAACACACACUGGACAAACACACACUGGACAAACACACACUGGACAAACACACACUGGACAAAUACACACUGGACAAAUACACACACACUAGACAAACACACACACAAACACAGUGGACACAAACACAGUGGACACACACACACACACACACACACACACACACACACUGGACACACACACACACACACUGGACACACACACACACACACACACACACACACACACACACACACACACACACACUGAACACACACACACUCACACACUGGACUCACAGACACACACUGGACACACACACUCACACACACACACUGGUCACACACACACUGAACACACACACUCUGGACACACACACACACUGGACUCACAGACACACAUUGGACAAAUACACACACACACACACACACACUGGACAAAUACACACACACAAACACAGUGGACAAACAUAUACACACAGGACACACACUCUGGACACACACACAUUCUGGACACACACACACAUGCGCAUCUUUCUAUAGUUGUGAGGACCUCUUACAACAACACUGUUAAAAUACCAAUGUAAUCAUGUGUUGUCUUUUAUGUUGAAAAACUAAUUAUACAAUUAUAUAUAAUUAUAUAUGGACAUACGCUCCAUAGUUGUACAAGUGUACCAGUAUAUAUUGUACUUUUCAUAAUAAAACAUACUUGAAACAAGAAAAGCUUGUUAAUUGUGAAAACAGUUUGGUUAUUUGAUUUUACGUUUCCUCUGUCAGGUUGAUGUUAACCUGCGACUGGUUGAAACAUGAAACAAAUAUGAAAUGAAAUACAAAACAAUUAAAUAUGUGGAAUAGAAUUAAACAAAUUGUACAAUUAGUACAACAGAGUGUAGUGAUGCAGGGUCACUAUAGCAACAGAGUUCUCUCUCUUCUCUGCUCUCUCCCUCUUUCUGCUCGCUCUCUCUGCUCUCUCCGCUCUCUCUGCUCUCUUUUCUCAGCUCUCUCUGUUCUCUGCUCUCUGCUCUGCUGCUCUCUUCUCUCUGAUCUCUCUCUCUCUCUCUCACUCUUUGCUCUCUCACUCUUUCUUUGCUUUCUCAGCCUGCUCUCUGCUCUCUCUCUCUCUCUCUGCUCCCUCUCUCUCCCACAAUCUGCUCUCUCUCUCCCAAACACUCUGCUCUCUCUCUGCUCUCUCUCUCCCACACUCUGCUGUCUCUCUCUGCUCUCUCUCUCUCUCUGCUCUCUCUCUCUGCUCUCUCUCUCUCCCACACUCUGCUCUCUCUCUCUCCCACACUUUCUGCUCUUUCUCUCACACUUUCUGCUCUCUCUCCCACACUUUCUGCUCUCUCUCCCACACUUUCUGCACUCUCUCCCACACUUUCUGCUCUCUCUCCCAAAUCAAAUCAAAUCAAAUGUAUUUAUAUAGCCCUUCGUACAUCAGCUGAUAUCUCAAAGUGCUGUACAGAAACCCAGCCUAAAACCCCAAACAGCAAGCAAUGCAGGUGUAGAAGCAUGGUGGCUAGGAAAAACUCCCUAGAAAGGCCAAAACCUAGAGAGGAACCAGGCUAUGUGGGGUGGCCAGUCCUCUUCUGGCUGUGCCGGGUGGAGAUUAUAACAGAACAUGGCCAAGAUGUUAAAAUGUUCAUAAAUGACCAGCAUGGUUGAAUAAUAAUAAGGCAGAACAUUUGAAACUGGAGCAGCAGCACGGCCAGGUGGACUGGGGACAGCAAGGAGUCAUCAUGUCAGGUAGUCCUGGGGCAUGGUCCUAGGGCUCAGGUCCCCUGAGAGAGAGAAAGAAAGAGAGAAGGAGAGAAUUAGAGAACGCACACUUAGAUUCACACAGGACACCGAAUAGGACAGGAGAAGUACUCCAGAUAUAACAAACUGACCCUAGCCCCCCGACACAUAAACUACUGCAGCAUAAAUACUGGAGGCUGAGACAGGAGGGGUCAGGAGACACUGUGGCCCCAUCCGAGGACACCCCCGGAGAGGGCCAAACAGGAAGGAUAUAACCCCACCCACUUUGCCAAAGCACAGCCCCCACACCACUAGAGGGAUAUCUUCAACCACCAACUUACCAUCCUGAGACAAGGCUGAGUAUAGCCCACAAAGACCUCCGCCAUGGCACAACCCAAGGGGGGGCGCCAACCCAGACAGGAUGACCACAUCAGUGAAUCAACCCACUCAGGUGACGUACCCCUUCCAGGGACGGCAUGAGAGAGCCCCAGUAAGCCAGUGACUCAGCCCCUGUAAUAGGGUUAGAGGCAGAGAAUCCCAGUGGAAAGAGGGGAACCGGCCAGGCAGAGACAGCAAGGGCGGUUCGUUGCUCCAGAGCCUUUCCGUUCACCCUCCCACUCCUGGGCCAGACUACACUCAAUCAUAUGACCCACUGAAGAGAUGAGUCUUCAGUAAAGACUUAAAGGUUGAGACCGAGAUUGCGUCUCUGACAUGGGUAGGCAGACCGUUGCAUAAAAAUGGAGCUCUAUAGGAGAAAGCCCCGCCUCCAGCUGUUUGCUUAGAAAUUCUAGGGACAAUUAGGAGGCCUGCGUCUUGUGACCGCAGCGUACGUGUAGGUAUGUACGGCAGGACCAAAUCAGAGAGAUAGGUCGGAGCAAACCCAUGUAAUGCUUUGUAGGUUAGCAGUAAAACCUUGAAAUCAGCCCUUGCUUUGACAGGAAGCCAGUGUAGAGAGGCUAGCACUGGAGUAAUAUGAUCAAAUUUUUUGGUUCUAGUCAGGAUUCUAGCAGCCGAUUUAGCACUAACUGAAGUUUAUUUAGUGCUUUAUCCGGGUAGCCCACACUUUCUGCUCUCUCUAUCUUAACAGUGGUGAAGUUUGGACAAUCACCACUUGAUGGCAGUGUUAAACCAGAAGUGAUGAAAACAACAUCAAUGCAUCGAGAGAGAGAGAGAGAGAGAGUCUAAUAUACUGAUAUACAGUAACAUUCAGAAAGUAUUCAGACCCCUUGACUUUUUACACAUUUUGUCACGUUACAGCCUUAUUCUAAAAUGUAUUAAAUGUGUUUUUCCCCUCAUCAAUCUACACACAAUAACCCAGAAUUACAAAGCAAAAAUGGUUCACUUUAAUGUGUGAACAUUUUUAUUUAAAAAAACUUAGAUAUCACAGAGGGAGAGGGAGAGUAGAGAGUCAGAACAGAGGGAAAGAGAGAGAGGGAGGGUAGAAAGUCAGAACAGAUGGAAAGAGAGAGAGGGAGAGUAGAGAGUCAGAACAGAGGGAAAGAGAGAGAGAGAGGGGGAGGGUAGAGAGUCAGAACAGAGGGAAAGAGAGAGAGAGAGAGGGAGGGAGAGAGUCAGAACAGAGGGAAAGAGGGAGAGGAGAGAGUCAGAACAGAUGGAAAGAGAUAGCGAGAGAGGGAGGGUAGAGAGUCAGAACAGAGGGAAAGACAGAGAGCAAACCCGUAGCCUCAAGCUCAUUACCAUAGCGCAACGUUAACUAUUCAUGAAAAUCGCAAAUGAAACGAAAGAAAUAUAUUCACUCACAAGCUUAGCCUUUUGUUAACAACACUGUCAUCUCAGAUUUUCAAAAUAUGCUUUUCAACCAUAGCUACACAAGCAUUUGUGUAAGAGUAUUGAUAGCUAGCAUAGCAUUGAGCCUAGCAUUCAGCAGGCAACAUUUUCACAAAAACAAGAAAAGCAUUAAAAUAAAAUCAUUUACCUUUGAAGAACUUCAGAUGUUUUCAAUGACGAG